RNAcentral lists this transfer RNA (77 nucleotides) under Ketogulonicigenium vulgare WSH-001. Its description in RNAcentral is "tRNA-Ala". It matches the Rfam family "tRNA". From Rfam's summary of the family: Transfer RNA (tRNA) molecules are approximately 80 nucleotides in length. Their secondary structure includes four short double-helical elements and three loops (D, anti-codon, and T loops). The record is from RNAcentral. Lineage: Bacteria; Pseudomonadati; Pseudomonadota; Alphaproteobacteria; Rhodobacterales; Roseobacteraceae.
AGGGGCCUUAGCUCAGCUGGGAGAGCAUCUGCUUUGCAAGCAGAGGGUCAUCGGUUCGAUCCCGAUAGGCUCCACCA